UAGCAUAAUAAAUUGUUCUUUAAUUGAGAACCGGAAUGAAAGGUCCCACAAUUUAUAAAUAUAUCCAAUCGAAUUAAUGAAUUUUUACUAUAAGUAAAAAUACUUAUAUAAUAUAAAGGGACGAUAAGACCCUAGAAGCUUUACUUUUAACUUUUAUAAAAUAUUUAUAUUUAGUAUUUAUAAAAAUAAAAAGUUUGAUUGGGGAAAUAAAAAUUAUAUAAAUAAUUUGUUAUCAAAAGAACUUACUAAUUUAUGAUCUUAUAAAUAUAAAUAAAUUGAAAUAGUUACUCUAGGGAUAACAGCGUAAUAAUUUUGGGUAGACCAUAUAUAUAAAAUUGAUUACGACCUCGAUGUUGAAUUAAAAUAUCUUUAUAAAGUAGAAAUUAUAUAAGAAAGUUUGUUCAACUUUUAAAUUUUUACAUGAUUUGAGUUCAGACCGGUUUAAGCCAGGUCGGUUUCUAUCUUUUAUAAUAAUGAAAUUCUUUUAGUACGAAAGGACCAAAGAAUUUUAACAUUU
This 517-nucleotide ribosomal RNA is filed under the name Longipodacrangonyx sp. 1 MDMBR-2012. RNAcentral's name for it is "16S ribosomal RNA". It matches the Rfam family "Bacterial large subunit ribosomal RNA", at positions 1957 to 2710 of the family's 2925-position model. The record is from RNAcentral. Lineage: Eukaryota; Metazoa; Arthropoda; Malacostraca; Amphipoda; Metacrangonyctidae.